GUGCUCAUUGGAUGUUGUCGGUGGUGAACCCGGAUGAAGAAGUCGUGCAUUUGAUGGAUCCGCUAAAAAAGCGACUUUGUGCUGGUGAAUGGAAAAGUAUUGUCGACAACUCCAUUAUAGGGCAGGAGAGCCUGAAAUGGCUAUGAACUAUUCAUCGAAUCAAUGAUUUACCAGAGUCACAACACCCACAGCGUAGGACAUGCUUUCUGAGCCUUGGGCUUCCUCUUGGGUUUGGAAAGUGUGAAUCUUGUGGUACUUCCGAACUUGGAAAGUGCGAAGGACAUUUUGGACAUAUAUUGGCUUACCAUUACCAAUAUAUCAUCCUAACCAUGUUAGUGAGCUGAAGCGGUUGUUGAGUUUUUUGUGCCUGAAAUGAGAUACUUUUGGGGUUGGCCUGGAAUUUCGUUUUGCCUAAGAAUCGCUUUGGCUCCUUGUGCACUCGACACCUAUUAGUACUUUUUGAACCGUAACUCUGAUUUCUGACCAUCAAUUUUAUUUCUUUGUAAAGUUCUAUAACGGAAUUGACUACCUAGAGACCAAAAUUAGUUGAACAGCUCUAAUUUCUUUGUCAAAAUUGAGCAAAGAUAGAGAAUUGAGAUGGUGUUAUUUUAUAUAUGAUAAAGAC
Rosa rugosa (rugosa rose) is the source of this 625-nucleotide long non-coding RNA. RefSeq lists it as uncharacterized. The record is from RefSeq and is a predicted model, not a curated record. Lineage: Eukaryota; Viridiplantae; Streptophyta; Magnoliopsida; Rosales; Rosaceae. The transcript has 4 exons.